This 434-nucleotide ribosomal RNA is filed under the name uncultured Ruminococcus sp. RNAcentral's name for it is "partial 16S ribosomal RNA". It matches the Rfam family "Bacterial small subunit ribosomal RNA", at positions 341 to 792 of the family's 1533-position model. The record is from RNAcentral. Lineage: Bacteria; Bacillati; Bacillota; Clostridia; Eubacteriales; Oscillospiraceae.
ACGGAAGGCAGCAGUGGGGAAUAUUGCACAAUGGGCGCAAGCCUGAUGCAGCGAUGCCGCGUGAGGGAAGAAGGUUUUCGGAUUGUAAACCUCUGUCAACAGGGACGAAAAUGACGGUACCUGUGAAGGAUGCUCCGGCUAACUACGUGCCAGCAGCCGCGGUAAUACGUAGGGAGCAAGCGUUAUCCGGAAUUACUGGGUGUAAAGGGAGUGUAGGCGGGACUGUAAGUCAGAUGUGAAAUAUGCCGGCUCAACUGGCAGACUGCAUUUGAAACUGCGGUUCUUGAGUGAAGUAGAGGUAAGCGGAAUUCCUAGUGUAGCGGUGAAAUGCGUAGAUAUUAGGAGGAACAUCAGUGGCGAAGGCGGCUUACUGGGCUUUAACUGACGCUGAGGCUCGAAAGCGUGGGGAGCAAACAGGAUUAGAUACCCUGGUA